GACGAACGCUGGCGGCGUGCUUAACACAUGCAAGUCGAACGGAAAGGCCCUGCUUUUGUGGGGUGCUCGAGUGGCGAACGGGUGAGUAACACGUGAGUAACCUGCUCUCGAUUUUGGGAUAACUUCAGGAAACUGGGGCUAAUACCGGAUAGGAGCUCCUGCUGCAUGGUGGGGGUUGGAAUGUUUCGGCGGUUGGGGAUGGACUCGCGGCUUAUCAGCUUGUUGGUGGGGUAGUGGCUUACCAAGGCUUUGACGGGUAGCCGGCCUGAGAGGGUGACCGGCCACAUUGGGACUGAGAUACGGCCCAGACUCCUACGGGAGGCAGCAGUGGGGAAUAUUGCACAAUGGGCGGAAGCCUGAUGCAGCAACGCCGCGUGCGGGAUGACGGCCUUCGGGUUGUAAACCGCUUUCGCCUGUGACGAAGCGUGAGUGACGGUAAUGGGUAAAGAAGCACCGGCUAACUACGUG
RNAcentral lists this ribosomal RNA (468 nucleotides) under uncultured bacterium. Its description in RNAcentral is "partial 16S ribosomal RNA". It matches the Rfam family "Bacterial small subunit ribosomal RNA", at positions 28 to 507 of the family's 1533-position model. The record is from RNAcentral.